GAUGAACGCUGGCGGCGUGCCUAAUACAUGCAAGUCGAGCGAACAGACGAGGAGCUUGCUCCUCUGACGUUAGCGGCGGACGGGUGAGUAACACGUGGAUAACCUACCUAUAAGACUGGGAUAACUUCGGGAAACCGGAGCUAAUACCGGAUAAUAUAUUGAACCGCAUGGUUCAAUAGUGAAAGACGGUUUUGCUGUCACUUAUAGAUGGAUCCGCGCCGCAUUAGCUAGUUGGUAAGGUAACGGCUUACCAAGGCAACGAUGCGUAGCCGACCUGAGAGGGGGAUAGCCCCCACAGGAAAUGAGAAACGGGGCAGACACCCCAGGGGGGGACAGGUGGGGGAAAUUCCGCGAAGGGGGAAAGCCCCAAGGGGCGACGCCGCGGGAGUGAUAAAGGGUUGUGCGUCGUGAAAAUCUGUUUUAUGGGGAAAACAAAAGUGUAAAAAAAAAUACGCGCCUUUACAGGACCCAUACAAAAAGCCCCGCGGAAAACCGC
Molecule: ribosomal RNA, 496 nt
Filed under: uncultured bacterium
Lineage: Bacteria
Description: partial 16S ribosomal RNA
Rfam family: Bacterial small subunit ribosomal RNA
Source: RNAcentral